UCUCCAGACAUUCCACACUCCCCGCUCUAUGCUGAUCCCUACACACCACCAGCUAUAGCUCACCACAAGAUUACAGACAUCCAAGGCCUGGAUGAGUUCCUCUGUGCAGUACAGACAUCACCUGGACCUGAACUAUCAAGCCCGUUCCCCUCAGUCUCUGUGUCUGUGCCUGUCUCUGACUCCAACUCUGGAAUCUCCAGCUCCCCCCGGCCUCUGGGCUCACACUUGCUCUCCAAGAAAGGAGCCCUGCAGUCCAGAGCUUCCCAGAGACACCGGGGUUCCAUCAAGAGCAGGGCCCCACAGCCCUCAGACUUCCCUCAGCUUGUCACACCUGCCAGAGAAGGUACACCCAGUUCCCUGCCACCUCCCCCAGAUGAAGAGGCUCCUAUCUGGAACAAGACUUCCUCUCCCUCCCACCAGAAGUGGUCACAUCCCAGGAAGCCUGCGGUGGAAGGGGGAUUCAUCCAGUGGAUCUGAUGGCCCCCGAGUGAGCUGCUGCUUCUCAAAAAACACAAACAGCCAGCACCAACCGGGAUAAGAGUAUGCAGUUCGGCCAGUCCUUUGACUUAUAUUAAAUACACCAGGGCCUAACCCCAUCAGGUCGAGGGUGUUUCUAGAAUUUUGAGGAUAGAGGCACCUCUCACCAGGCUCUAGCUACUCAGCUUUAGCAGUUGGAACAAAUGAAAGGAGGUAACCCUAGGAACGAACCAGUGAGGGACAUCAGUAAGAUUCUGUACAACCCCAGAAGCUAUACCUCUAGGGGGAGAGGUGGGGGUGCUAGUGCAGGUCUUUACUUAGAAGUGGGGAACAGCAUGCGUGUGAAAUACAGAGCACUGAAAAAGUCAGGUUGUCAAACCCAGCCUGUGAAGCCAGAAGGCAUGAGGGUCAGAGAUCAUUAGGGUGAGAGCUAUUACAAGAAGCAAAGGAGUAUAGGAAAAGCUAGUACUGUUGGGUGCACAGGGUAAGGUUGGUCAGAAAAAUGAACACCAUAAACAAGAAAGAGAUUUUAUUGGU
This 1014-nucleotide long non-coding RNA is filed under the name Rattus norvegicus (Norway rat). RNAcentral's name for it is "long non-coding RNA NONRATT023959". The record is from RNAcentral. Lineage: Eukaryota; Metazoa; Chordata; Mammalia; Rodentia; Muridae.